This 903-nucleotide ribosomal RNA is filed under the name uncultured archaeon. RNAcentral's name for it is "bacterial SSU rRNA". It matches the Rfam family "Archaeal small subunit ribosomal RNA", at positions 5 to 879 of the family's 1478-position model. The record is from RNAcentral.
CGGUUGAUCCUGCCGGACCCCACUGCUAUCGGGAUAGGACGAAGACAUGCGUGUCGAGCGCUUGCCAACCUGAUAGCUUGGAAGCGCGGCAGCCAUCUCAGUAACACGUGGCUAACCUAUCCUUAGGACGAGGAUAUCCCCGGGGAACUGGGGAUAAUCCUCGAUAGGUGGAGACCUCUGGAAUGAGUCUCCACCUAAAGGGCGCCUACGUCAUGCUCGUAGGCGCCGCCCAAGGAUGGGGCCGCGACCGAUCAGGUAGUUGGUGAGGCAACGGCUCACCAAGCCUUUGACCGGUGCGGGCCGUGAGAGCGGGAGCCCGGAGAUGGGCACUGAGACAAGGGCCCAGGCCCUACGGGGCGCAGCAGUCGCGAAAACUUUGCAAUACACGAAAGUGUGACAAGGCUAUCCCGAGUGCCGUCCGCUGAGGAAGGCUUUUACCCAGUUUAGUAAGCUGGGAGAAUAAGGAGAGGGCAAGUCUGGUGUCAGCCGCCGCGGUAAUACCAGCUCUCCGAGUGGUGUGGACGUUUAUUGGGCCUAAAGCAUCCGUAGCCGGCUGAGUUAGUCCCCUGUUAAAUCCACCGAAUUAAUCGUUGGAGUGCGGGGGAUACUGCUCAGCUAGGGGACGGGAGAGGCAGACGGUAUUUCCGGGGUAGGGGUGAAAUCCUAUAAUCCCGGAAAGACCACCAGUGGCGAAGGCUGUCUGCUAGAACGCGCCCGACGGUGAGGGAUGAAAGCUGGGGGAGCGAACCGGAUUAGAUACCCGGGUAGUCCCAGCUGUAAACGAUGCAGGCUAGGUGUUUGGACGGCUACGUGCCGUUCUAGUGCCGCAAGGAAGCUGUUAAGCCUGCCGCCUGGGGAGUACGAUCGCAAGAUUGAAACUUAAAGGAAUUGGCGGGGGAGCAC